GGAGGGGCUGGAAGAUGGCGGCGGACGCACACCCACCCGAGACGCGACAGAGCUUAGGCCCCUCGCCCGCGCCGCCUCCCGCUGCUCGCAGCCACCGUGGGCAGCCCUGCUCUGUCCCGCGUUGCUGGUAGAGCCGCCCCGCGGAGGCGUGGGACCAGGGUGGCGUCCGCAUCCCCUGCCAGCGCGCCUUCGCCCGGGUCGGGCCAGGGAGCACCUGUGCACGGCCAUAUUGGAUUCUGUGCCCCAGUCACUGCCUCAGCGCGGCGGGAAAGGAGAGGAGUUCAACAAUUUUUAUGAAUUUCUAAUCCAACCUCAUCAUUCUAUGGGAAACAGAAGACCACCAAGAACAGCCAGCUGGUAUCUUGGCAGUAACCUCCUCCAUAUAUUUCCUUGGCCCUCAGCUUACAUCUGGCAAAAUGACUCUAUUGGUUCCAGGCUUCGCAUCCAUAC
This 450-nucleotide non-coding RNA is filed under the name Pongo abelii (Sumatran orangutan). The record is from RNAcentral. Lineage: Eukaryota; Metazoa; Chordata; Mammalia; Primates; Hominidae.